AUCCUUCCUGGUUCAUAAGCAUUCCAGAUUAGGUUUUCACGCUAUUGUGUGAGAUGAGUCUAGCUCAGAUCUUGUUACAAUGUCAGCACAUUACUCCUUUGAUG
Small nucleolar RNA from Equus asinus (donkey), 104 nucleotides. Lineage: Eukaryota; Metazoa; Chordata; Mammalia; Perissodactyla; Equidae. The record is from Ensembl.